Molecule: ribosomal RNA, 316 nt
Filed under: uncultured archaeon
Lineage: Archaea
Description: bacterial SSU rRNA
Rfam family: Archaeal small subunit ribosomal RNA
Source: RNAcentral
UUUAAGUCAGGCAACGAGCGAGACCCACGCCCACAGUUGCCAGCGUACUCUCCGGAGUGACGGGUACACUGUGGGGACCGCCGCUGCUAAAGCGGAGGAAGGAAUGGGCAACGGUAGGUCAGUAUGCCCCGAAUAUCCCGGGCUACACGCGAGCUACAAUGGUUGGUACAAUGGGUAUCUACCCCGAAAGGGGAUGGAAAUCUCCUAAAGCCAAUCUUAGUUCGGAUCGAGGGCUGCAACUCGCCCUCGUGAAGCUGGAAUCCGUAGUAAUCGCGUUUCAAUAGAACGCGGUGAAUACGUCCCUGCUCCUUGCACA